ACAGGCGGCUUCCAGUCUAAAAGAGAAGAAGCAGGCAGGGGUGGGGGGGACAAGGCUGCAGCCCUCCCCGUCACCACCAUUUGUGUACAGCCCUUCUCCCCACCAGGGCUCUUAGCCCAGGGAACAAGGCAGGAGGACUCCAUUUCCCAGAAUGCCUGGGUUUUGUCGACCGUGUUGGCACCGCCCCCUCGGGCAGCCCCAAAACAUGCUGGCAAUCUCUCAGCUCCCCGAAGGUGCCCAGUUGCGGUUCUCUAUUUCUGAGUGAGAGGAGGAGGGGCCGGAGCCCGGGCCCCAGUGCGCACAAGCAGGAAGGCCCCCCACCUCGGGGCUCCACCCCCUGAAGGACCCCCGUGUGGCCCCAGCAGAGAGCCCGCAGCCAGAGGGAAUGGCCCCCGGGACCCCGAGGCCCCCCUCCCAGGGGUCAAUAACACUCAAGGAUGUGGCUGUGGACUUCAC
Gracilinanus agilis (Agile Gracile Mouse Opossum) is the source of this 456-nucleotide long non-coding RNA. RefSeq lists it as uncharacterized. Lineage: Eukaryota; Metazoa; Chordata; Mammalia; Didelphimorphia; Didelphidae. The record is from RefSeq and is a predicted model, not a curated record. The transcript has 3 exons.